Jatropha curcas is the source of this 242-nucleotide non-coding RNA. The record is from RefSeq and is a predicted model, not a curated record. NCBI's taxonomy places the organism in Eukaryota, Viridiplantae, Streptophyta, Magnoliopsida, Malpighiales, Euphorbiaceae.
CUAGUGGCAUUAGAUAAUUACAUAUAUGAUCUUCAAAAAAGUUCUCUACCAGCAGACAUUGCUAAACCUCUAGUUUCUUUUAUCCAAAUGGUUUCAGAGGCAGCCCGAUUCAAAUAUAUUGAGAACAAAGUAUUAGAUCAAAUUGUUGGAUUUAAUUUUCUAUUGUGGGCUUAAUAUGUAAAAAAAAAUAUGUACAGCAGUCCAAUUGUAAAGUCAAUUUCAAAUGUGGUUUUGAUUGUAAA